AUUGAACGCUGGCGGCAGGCCUAACACAUGCAAGUCGAGCGGUAGCACAGAGAGCUUGCUCUCGGGUGACGAGCGGCGGACGGGUGAGUAAUGUCUGGGAAACUGCCUGAUGGAGGGGGAUAACUACUGGAAACGGUAGCUAAUACCGCAUAACGUCGCAAGACCAAAGUGGGGGACCUUCGGGCCUCAUGCCAUCAGAUGUGCCCAGAUGGGAUUAGCUAGUAGGUGGGGUAACGGCUCACCUAGGCGACGAUCCCUAGCUGGUCUGAGAGGAUGACCAGCCACACUGGAACUGAGACACGGUCCAGACUCCUACGGGAGGCAGCAGUGGGGAAUAUUGCACAAUGGGCGCAAGCCUGAUGCAGCCAUGCCGCGUGUGUGAAGAAGGCCUUCGGGUUGUAAAGCACUUUCAGCGGGGAGGAAGGCGGUGAGGUUAAUAACCUCAUCGAUUGACGUUACCCGCAGAAGAAGCACCGGCUAACUCCGUGCCAGCAGCCGCGGUAAUACGGAGGGUGCAAGCGUUAAUCGGAAUUACUGGGCGUAAAGCGCACGCAGGCGGUCUGUCAAGUCGGAUGUGAAAUCCCCGGGCUCAACCUGGGAACUGCAUUCGAAACUGGCAGGCUAGAGUCUUGUAGAGGGGGGUAGAAUUCCAGGUGUAGCGGUGAAAUGCGUAGAGAUCUGGAGGAAUACCGGUGGCGAAGGCGGCCCCCUGGACAAAGACUGACGCUCAGGUGCGAAAGCGUGGGGAGCAAACAGGAUUAGAUACCCUGGUAGUCCACGCCGUAAACGAUGUCGAUUUGGAGGUUGUGCCCUUGAGGCGUGGCUUCCGGAGCUAACGCGUUAAAUCGACCGCCUGGGGAGUACGGCCGCAAGGUUAAAACUCAAAUGAAUUGACGGGGGCCCGCACAAGCGGUGGAGCAUGUGGUUUAAUUCGAUGCAACGCGAAGAACCUUACCUGGUCUUGACAUCCACAGAACUUUCCAGAGAUGGAUUGGUGCCUUCGGGAACUGUGAGACAGGUGCUGCAUGGCUGUCGUCAGCUCGUGUUGUGAAAUGUUGAGUUAAGUCCCGCAACGAGCGCAACCCUUAUCCUUUGUUGCCAGCGGUUAGGCCGGGAACUCAAAGGAGACUGCCAGUGAUAAACUGGAGGAAGGUGGGGAUGACGUCAAGUCAUCAUGGCCCUUACGACCAGGGCUACACACGUGCUACAAUGGCAUAUACAAAGAGAAGCGACCUCGCGAGAGCAAGCGGACCUCAUAAAGUAUGUCGUAGUCCGGAUUGGAGUCUGCAACUCGACUCCAUGAAGUCGGAAUCGCUAGUAAUCGUAGAUCAGAAUGCUACGGUGAAUACGUUCCCGGGCCU
RNAcentral lists this ribosomal RNA (1361 nucleotides) under uncultured bacterium. RNAcentral's name for it is "bacterial SSU rRNA". It matches the Rfam family "Bacterial small subunit ribosomal RNA", at positions 28 to 1381 of the family's 1533-position model. The record is from RNAcentral.